UACAGAGGGUGCAAACGUUGUUCGGAAUUACUGGGCGUAAAGCGCGUGUAGGCGGCCCUGUAAGUCGGGUGUGAAAUCCCACGGCUCAACCGUGGAGGUGCAUUCGAAACUACAGGGCUAGAGUUCUGGAGAGGAAGGUGGAAUGCUUGGUGUAGAGGUGAAAUUCGUAGAUAUCAAGCGGAACACCGGUGGCGAAGGCGGCCUUCUGGACAGUAACUGACGCUGAGACGCGAAAGCGUGGGGAGCAAACAGG
This 253-nucleotide ribosomal RNA is filed under the name uncultured bacterium. RNAcentral describes it as "partial 16S ribosomal RNA". It matches the Rfam family "Bacterial small subunit ribosomal RNA", at positions 524 to 776 of the family's 1533-position model. The record is from RNAcentral.